Molecule: ribosomal RNA, 406 nt
Filed under: Bruchidius sp. BMNH#704365
Lineage: Eukaryota; Metazoa; Arthropoda; Insecta; Coleoptera; Chrysomelidae
Description: partial 16S ribosomal RNA
Source: RNAcentral
GUCUUAUUGAUAUUAAUUUUAAGUCUAACCUGCCCCCUGAAAUUUUAAAUGGCCGCGGUAUUUUGACCGUGCUAAGGUAGCAUAAUUAUUAGUUUCUUAAUUAGAAGCUUGAAUGAAUGGUUGGAUGAGAAAAUAACUGUCUCUAUUUAAGUUUAUUAAAAUUUUAUUUUUUAGUAAAAAAGCUAAAAUUAUUUUAAAAGACGAGAAGACCCUAUAGAGUUUAAUAUAAAUAAUAAUAUUAAUAUUUAUUAGAAUAAAAAUUUUUAAUUUAAAAUAUAUUUAAUUGGGGUGAUUGAAAAAUUUAAUAAACUUUUUUUUAUAGAGAACAUUGAUUUAUGAAUAUUUGAUCCAUAAUUUUUGAUUAUAAGAAUAAAUUACCUUAGGGAUAACAGCGUAAUAUUUUCAG